RNAcentral lists this ribosomal RNA (2977 nucleotides) under Shigella sp. RNAcentral's name for it is "23S ribosomal RNA". It matches the Rfam family "Bacterial large subunit ribosomal RNA". Lineage: Bacteria; Pseudomonadati; Pseudomonadota; Gammaproteobacteria; Enterobacterales; Enterobacteriaceae. The record is from RNAcentral.
GGGUUGUGAGGUUAAGCGACUAAGCGUACACGGUGGAUGCCCUGGCAGUCAGAGGCGAUGAAGGACGUGCUAAUCUGCGAUAAGCGUCGGUAAGGUGAUAUGAACCGUUAUAACCGGCGAUUUCCGAAUGGGGAAACCCAGUGUGAUUCGUCACACUAUCAUUAACUGAAUCCAUAGGUUAAUGAGGCGAACCGGGGGAACUGAAACAUCUAAGUACCCCGAGGAAAAGAAAUCAACCGAGAUUCCCCCAGUAGCGGCGAGCGAACGGGGAGCAGCCCAGAGCCUGAAUCAGUGUGUGUGUUAGUGGAAGCGUCUGGAAAGGCGCGCGAUACAGGGUGACAGCCCCGUACACAAAAAUGCACAUGCUGUGAGCUCGAUGAGUAGGGCGGGACACGUGGUAUCCUGUCUGAAUAUGGGGGGACCAUCCUCCAAGGCUAAAUACUCCUGACUGACCGAUAGUGAACCAGUACCGUGAGGGAAAGGCGAAAAGAACCCCGGCGAGGGGAGUGAAAAAGAACCUGAAACCGUGUACGUACAAGCAGUGGGAGCACGCUUAGGCGUGUGACUGCGUACCUUUUGUAUAAUGGGUCAGCGACUUAUAUUCUGUAGCAAGGUUAACCGAAUAGGGGAGCCGAAGGGAAACCGAGUCUUAACUGGGCGUUAAGUUGCAGGGUAUAGACCCGAAACCCGGUGAUCUAGCCAUGGGCAGGUUGAAGGUUGGGUAACACUAACUGGAGGACCGAACCGACUAAUGUUGAAAAAUUAGCGGAUGACUUGUGGCUGGGGGUGAAAGGCCAAUCAAACCGGGAGAUAGCUGGUUCUCCCCGAAAGCUAUUUAGGUAGCGCCUCGUGAAUUCAUCUCCGGGGGUAGAGCACUGUUUCGGCAAGGGGGUCAUCCCGACUUACCAACCCGAUGCAAACUGCGAAUACCGGAGAAUGUUAUCACGGGAGACACACGGCGGGUGCUAACGUCCGUCGUGAAGAGGGAAACAACCCAGACCGCCAGCUAAGGUCCCAAAGUCAUGGUUAAGUGGGAAACGAUGUGGGAAGGCCCAGACAGCCAGGAUGUUGGCUUAGAAGCAGCCAUCAUUUAAAGAAAGCGUAAUAGCUCACUGGUCGAGUCGGCCUGCGCGGAAGAUGUAACGGGGCUAAACCAUGCACCGAAGCUGCGGCAGCGACGCUNNNNNNNNNNNNNNNNNNNNNNNNNNNNNNNNNNNNNNNNNNNNNNNNNNNNNNNNNNNNNNNNNNNNNNNNNNNNNNNNNNNNNNNNNNNNNNNNNNNNNNNUGCUGGAGGUAUCAGAAGUGCGAAUGCUGACAUAAGUAACGAUAAAGCGGGUGAAAAGCCCGCUCGCCGGAAGACCAAGGGUUCCUGUCCAACGUUAAUCGGGGCAGGGUGAGUCGACCCCUAAGGCGAGGCCGAAAGGCGUAGUCGAUGGGAAACAGGUUAAUAUUCCUGUACUUGGUGUUACUGCGAAGGGGGGACGGAGAAGGCUAUGUUGGCCGGGCGACGGUUGUCCCGGUUUAAGCGUGUAGGCUGGUUUUCCAGGCAAAUCCGGAAAAUCAAGGCUGAGGCGUGAUGACGAGGCACUACGGUGCUGAAGCAACAAAUGCCCUGCUUCCAGGAAAAGCCUCUAAGCAUCAGGUAACAUCAAAUCGUACCCCAAACCGACACAGGUGGUCAGGUAGAGAAUACCAAGGCGCUUGAGAGAACUCGGGUGAAGGAACUAGGCAAAAUGGUGCCGUAACUUCGGGAGAAGGCACGCUGAUAUGUAGGUGAAGUCCCUCGCGGAUGGAGCUGAAAUCAGUCGAAGAUACCAGCUGGCUGCAACUGUUUAUUAAAAACACAGCACUGUGCAAACACGAAAGUGGACGUAUACGGUGUGACGCCUGCCCGGUGCCGGAAGGUUAAUUGAUGGGGUUAGCGCAAGCGAAGCUCUUGAUCGAAGCCCCGGUAAACGGCGGCCGUAACUAUAACGGUCCUAAGGUAGCGAAAUUCCUUGUCGGGUAAGUUCCGACCUGCACGAAUGGCGUAAUGAUGGCCAGGCUGUCUCCACCCGAGACUCAGUGAAAUUGAACUCGCUGUGAAGAUGCAGUGUACCCGCGGCAAGACGGAAAGACCCCGUGAACCUUUACUAUAGCUUGACACUGAACAUUGAGCCUUGAUGUGUAGGAUAGGUGGGAGGCUUUGAAGUGUGGACGCCAGUCUGCAUGGAGCCGACCUUGAAAUACCACCCUUUAAUGUUUGAUGUUCUAACGUUGACCCGUGAUCCGGGUUGCGGACAGUGUCUGGUGGGUAGUUUGACUGGGGCGGUCUCCUCCUAAAGAGUAACGGAGGAGCACGAAGGUUGGCUAAUCCUGGUCGGACAUCAGGAGGUUAGUGCAAUGGCAUAAGCCAGCUUGACUGCGAGCGUGACGGCGCGAGCAGGUGCGAAAGCAGGUCAUAGUGAUCCGGUGGUUCUGAAUGGAAGGGCCAUCGCUCAACGGAUAAAAGGUACUCCGGGGAUAACAGGCUGAUACCGCCCAAGAGUUCAUAUCGACGGCGGUGUUUGGCACCUCGAUGUCGGCUCAUCACAUCCUGGGGCUGAAGUAGGUCCCAAGGGUAUGGCUGUUCGCCAUUUAAAGUGGUACGCGAGCUGGGUUUAGAACGUCGUGAGACAGUUCGGUCCCUAUCUGCCGUGGGCGCUGGAGAAUUGAGGGGGGCUGCUCCUAGUACGAGAGGACCGGAGUGGACGCAUCACUGGUGUUCGGGUUGUCAUGCCAAUGGCACUGCCCGGUAGCUAAAUGCGGAAGAGAUAAGUGCUGAAAGCAUCUAAGCACGAAACUUGCCCCGAGAUGAGUUCUCCCUGACUCCUUGAGAGUCCUGAAGGAACGUUGAAGACGACGACGUUGAUAGGCCGGGUGUGUAAGCGCAGCGAUGCGUUGAGCUAACCGGUACUAAUGAACCGUGAGGCUUAACCUUACAACGCCGAAGGUGUUU